AGAAUCAACGCUGGCGGCGUGCCUAACACAUGCAAGUCGAACGAGAAAGUGGAGCAAUCCAUGAGUAAAGUGGCGACCGGGUGAGUAACACGUGACUAACCUACCUUCGAGUGGGGGAUAACCUCGGGAAACCGAGGCUAAUACCACAUAACAUCGCAAGAUCAAAGCAGCAAUGCGCUGGAAGAGGGGGUCGCGGCUGAUUAGCUAGUUGGCGGGUAACGCCCACAAGGCGAAGAUCGGUA
This 242-nucleotide ribosomal RNA is filed under the name uncultured bacterium. RNAcentral describes it as "partial small subunit ribosomal RNA". It matches the Rfam family "Bacterial small subunit ribosomal RNA", at positions 26 to 285 of the family's 1533-position model. The record is from RNAcentral.